Molecule: ribosomal RNA, 251 nt
Filed under: Shigella sonnei
Lineage: Bacteria; Pseudomonadati; Pseudomonadota; Gammaproteobacteria; Enterobacterales; Enterobacteriaceae
Description: partial 16S ribosomal RNA
Rfam family: Bacterial small subunit ribosomal RNA
Source: RNAcentral
UUAAAUUGAAGAGUUUGAUCAUGGCUCAGAUUGAACGCUGGCGGCAGGCCUAACACAUGCAAGUCGAACGGUAACAGGAAACAGCUUGCUGUUUCGCUGACGAGUGGCGGACGGGUGAGUAAUGUCUGGGAAACUGCCUGAUGGAGGGGGAUAACUACUGGAAACGGUAGCUAAUACCGCAUAAUGUCGCAAGACUAAAGAGGGGGACCUUCGGGCCUCUUGCCAUCGGAUGUGCCCAGAUGGGAUUAGCU